ACGUAGGUGGCAAGCGUUGUCCGGAAUUAUUGGGCGUAAAGAGCAUGUAGGUGGAUACUUAAGUCUGUUGUGAAAAUGCGGGGCUCAACCCCGUAUUGCGAUGGAAACUGGGUGUCUUGAGUGCAGGAGAGGAAAGGGGAAUUCCCAGUGUAGCGGUGAAAUGCGUAGAUAUUGGGAGGAACACCAGUGGCGAAGGCGCCUUUCUGGACUGUGUCUGACACUGAGAUGCGAAAGCUAGGGGAGCGAACGG
RNAcentral lists this ribosomal RNA (250 nucleotides) under uncultured prokaryote. RNAcentral's name for it is "partial 16S rRNA". It matches the Rfam family "Bacterial small subunit ribosomal RNA", at positions 525 to 775 of the family's 1533-position model. The record is from RNAcentral.